UGAAUACGAGACGCUAAGGCGUCGAAGUAGUGUAUGUCAUACUUCCAAGAAAAGCUUGCACUGUCAUAGAUAAAAAACGCCUGUACCAUAACCGACACAGGUGGGUAGGUAGAGUAUACUAAGGGGCGCGAGAUAACUCUCUCUAAGGAACUCGGCAAAAUAACUCCGUAACUUCGGGAGAAGGAGUGCCUUAUUCGUAAGGUUGCAAUAACAAGAUCCAAGCAACUGUUUAUCAAAAACACAGGUCUCCGCUAAGUCGUAAGACGAUGUAUGGGGGCUGACGCCUGCCCAGUGCCAGAAGGUUAAAGAAGUUGGUUAGCAAUUGCGAAGCUGAUAACUGAAGCCCUGGUGAACGGCGGCCGUAACAAUAACGGUCCUAAGGUAGCGAAAUUCCUUGUCGGGUAAGUUCCGACCCGCACGAAAGGCGUAAUGAUUUGGAUACUGUCUCGGAGAGGGGCUCGGUGAAAUAGACUUGUCUGUGAAGAUGCGGACUACCUGCACCAGGACAGAAAGACCCUAUGAAGCUUUACUGUAACUUGAAAUUGAAAUUGGACUUUAUUCGCGCAGUAUAGGUGGGAGGCGUUGAUUAUAAUCUUGUGGGAUUAUUGGAGCCAUCAGUGAGAUACCACUCUUGUAAUGUUAGAUUUCUAACUUUGAAUCAUUAUCUGGUCAAAGAACGGUUUCAGGCGGGCAGUUUGACUGGGGCGGUCGCCUCCUAAACGGUAACGGAGGCGUACAAAGGUUUCCUCUGAACGGUUAGAAAUCGUAUCUAGAGUGUAAAGGCAUAAGGAAGCUUGACUGUGAGACCUACAAGUCGAGCAGGGACGAAAGUCGGUCUUAGUGAUCUGACGGUACUGAGUGGAAAGGCCGUCACUCAACGGAUAAAAGUUACUCUAAGGAUAACAGGCUGAUCUCCCCCAAGAGUUCACAUCGACGGGGAGGUUUGGCACCUCGAUGUCGGCUCAUCGCAUCCUGGGGCGGUAGUACGUCCCAAGGGUUGGGCUGUUCGCCCAUGAAAGCGGUACGCGAGCUGGGUUCAGAACGUCGUGAGACAGUUCGGUCCAUAUCCGGUGUAGGCGUUAGAAUAUUGAGAGGAGCCUUCUUUAGUACGAGAGGACCGAGAAGGACAUACCUCUGGUGUACCAGUUAUCGUGCCAACGGUAAACGCUGGGUAGCUAUGUAUGGAGUGGAUAACCGCUGAAAGCAUCUAAGUGGGAAGCCCACCUCAAGAUAAGUAUUCUCU
Molecule: ribosomal RNA, 1243 nt
Filed under: metagenome
Description: bacterial LSU rRNA
Rfam family: Bacterial large subunit ribosomal RNA
Source: RNAcentral